AGAUGCAUGGCUCAAAGGCAGAGCGCACCUGUGAAGCAGGUGAGGUUGUUGGUUCAAUUCCAACUGUAUCAA
Molecule: transfer RNA, 72 nt
Filed under: Geranomyces variabilis
Lineage: Eukaryota; Fungi; Chytridiomycota; Chytridiomycetes; Spizellomycetales; Powellomycetaceae
Description: tRNA-Phe
Rfam family: tRNA
About the family: Transfer RNA (tRNA) molecules are approximately 80 nucleotides in length.
Source: RNAcentral